Long non-coding RNA from Musa acuminata AAA Group (dessert banana), 757 nucleotides. RefSeq lists it as uncharacterized. Lineage: Eukaryota; Viridiplantae; Streptophyta; Magnoliopsida; Zingiberales; Musaceae. The record is from RefSeq and is a predicted model, not a curated record. The transcript is spliced from 2 exons.
UUAUGAAUGUAAUGAUGACUAUAAGUCCUCACCUCCAAGGUGACGCCAAAACAUGACCCCAACGUUGCGCAAUACUACAAUUUUGCCUAAUACGUAGGUUGGAGUUUGCUGUAUGGUUAGUACGCUAUUCCGUACAAGCUGUUCCAACACCAACGGGAACAAAGCGUGCCCGAAUACGUUAUCCUCUGCUUCUUCCCUUCCACUCUCCGCUCUUUUCCCCUUCUCUCCCCUCUCCGUCAAACCCUACUUUUUUGCAAGCAGAUCUCUCGUCUUAAUUACACUGACAUCCUCGUCUUAAUUCCUCGAUCGAUUAAUCUCGAUUGCGAAAUCCUUGCGUGAUCGAAUUGCCGGAAUCCUUGUAUCAUCUUCUUCUUUCGUUACGGUGCGUCGAUGAUGUCUUCGUGGUAUUGAGUGUGGGGCUUCCCCGUUCUUGUUGGACCCUCUUUUUCUUUGGACAGGGUUUGAGUCGGGAGCGUUGCGGUCGCUCCUGUUUCUGAUCUCCGUCGGAUGGAGCCUCGCGUGGGGGACAAGUUCCGCCUUGGUCGCAAGAUCGGGAGCGGUUCCUUUGGAGAGAUCUAUUUAGGAAUUAAUCUCUAAACAAACGAAGAGGUUGCCAUAAAGCUCGUAAGUUUUGCCUUUUAACGAGGAUUAUAGCUUCCAAUUUUUUUCCCUGUUCGGUGCCCUGCAGAUAAUAUAUUGUUCGUUUAGUAGAUACUCUAUGUUGAUGGGGUUCGAAAAUAAUUGCUGAAUUCUUUCA